Cygnus olor (mute swan) is the source of this 1943-nucleotide long non-coding RNA. RefSeq lists it as uncharacterized. Lineage: Eukaryota; Metazoa; Chordata; Aves; Anseriformes; Anatidae. The transcript has 6 exons. The record is from RefSeq and is a predicted model, not a curated record.
UCUCCCUGCCCUUGCCUCACUUCCAUCCAACACCAUCCUCGCUACGAUGCAGUACUGCACCUGCUGCCCUUACUCCUGCUCAGCUGAGUCUACAAACGAAGGCAGAGCCUUGAUGAGCUAUGGGAGGUAGUCUGUUAGCCCAAUUAACAGAAGAGAAACAUGAGCAUUGUGUGGUAGAGCUGCUUGGCCCUUACAGGCAUCCAUCCCAGCUUAUCUGAAGCUGCACUGCUGGCUCUGAGCAUGUCUCUUGGCAGCAGCUGGGGGAGGACAGCUAAGUUUCUUUAAAGAUCUCGGGUGAGAACUUCCCCUGGAGCCUUACCGAAAUCCAAGUCAGCUCUAUCAGCUGGACCAUCUCUGUCCUCGUGACUGCUUCAAAGAGUUAGAGAGCACCACUUCACCCCGAUGAAGUUUGCAGACUCUUCCUCUUUACACCACACUCAUUCAUCUGGUCACGGGUCAAUUAAAUGCAUGCAUUGUCUGGAUCAAGUCCAGCAUGGUGCCGGUGCCUUGCCACAUGGAAUAGAAAGAGACCGUGGUGCAAGCAAGCAAGCUCACCAACAAAACCCACCGCCCGCAACGCAGAGAUAUAGAAAUGUGCAUCACUCACCAGGUCAGCUUCGCAUUCCCUCUUGCAAGUGCUCUGUGCAUCUACCCACAGGUUGGGGUUCAUGUCAUUUGGGCAUAUCCCUGCGUGUGAAUACCGUAUGGGAGGUAAAGCUCUCCCUUGCAGAGAGACCUCCAGAAGCAACAGAACACUGCUCUUCCCCAGCAAGAUCCACAUCCACCGAGUGAACAGCGCCAACAACAUCUCAGAACUUCUCCAGGGCAGUGGCAGUGACCGAGCUGGAGCAAGGGGUCGAUCCUGUUUGUGCUGAACACUUGCCAAAAUGUAGAAGCACGUGGCAGAAGCUCGAGCUGCUCAGCACCUGGCAGGAUUAGAGCCUCCAGGCUGAAUUCUGGGCUGGCUUGGCCGGAUCCUGCUGGGUGCCCAGGGCCUCCUGGGAGGACCAGACUGAGGAUGGGUUGCCCAGAGGCACUUUUCAGCCACGGGGGAGCAGAGCAGGGCUCUGAAGAACCAGACGCAGGCUCAUGGCAUAUGAAUGGAGCAGUCUUCUGCUUUGCUAUGACCACCUCCAUCCCGACAGAUCUUCUCCAAGGACAGGUUAGAGGUAUCAUUAAAGGAAAGGUAACCUGAACGUCUAGAUUUGAUGUCUUGUCACACCAAUGUUAGGUCAGCGUUUGGCACAGUGGAGAGCAGCAGGGACAUCCCAUAGGAGCCUGGAUGACUAAGAAAAAGGACAAAGACAUCAUCCUUAAUGAUAAUGAUGGUUUUGUUGGGUCGCUGUACAUGAGGCACAGGAAAUUCAUGUUAACUAAGAAAUCAGGCUUUCAGUAAACCUUUUUCAUAGGAAGCUUCUUAGGGAGUCAAAUCCUGCCUUAAUCCAAUGGAAAUGGGACAGGCGCUGUUCCCCCCCAACUCCCACCACUCCAGGAACAGGGAGCACUCAGCCCUGGAAGGAUCUGUCCCUUGGCCACUUGAACCCUGCCAGCAGAGAGAGGACAACAGCACCAUAAAUCCCUCUGUGAAUGCUGCCAGGCAGCUCCUGAGGUCAGAGGAGGCUCCGAAUAACCCUCGCCAGCUGCCCCAUCCCAGCCAGAACAUCACAGAAAGGCUGUGACAUGGCCACAUCCAGGAGGUGACACCAGCAUGCAGAUGGCCCUGGGACAGCAGGGACCCGGCUGUCCUAGCACAGGUUGUGAGAAUGAUGCCCUUGGUAUCUUCUGGGUUUCACUGAAGGCUCAUUGCUCACCUGGUUUAAAUUAGAUUAGCUGCACAGUGGAUCUGACUGGGUACUCCAGGACAACACCAGCUUGUGACAGCUGUGAAUCAGAGACUGUCAAAGUGCCUGGGCAUGGUUUUUCUGUUCUUUCUUGUUUAUAAA